This 490-nucleotide ribosomal RNA is filed under the name uncultured bacterium. RNAcentral describes it as "partial 16S ribosomal RNA". It matches the Rfam family "Bacterial small subunit ribosomal RNA", at positions 30 to 507 of the family's 1533-position model. The record is from RNAcentral.
AUUGAACGCUGGCGGCAGGCCUAACACAUGCAAGUCGAACGGUAACAGGAAGAAGCUUGCUUCUUUGCUGACGAGUGGCGGACGGGUGAGUAAUGUCUGGGAAACUGCCUGAUGGAGGGGGAUAACUACUGGAAACGGUAGCUAAUACCGCAUAACGUCGCAAGACCAAAGAGGGGGACCUUCGGGCCUCUUGCCAUCGGAUGUGCCCAGAUGGGAUUAGCUAGUAGGUGGGGUAACGGCUCACCUAGGCGACGAUCCCUAGCUGGUCUGAGAGGAUGACCAGGCAACAUGGAACUGAGACACGGUCCAGACUCCUACGGGAGGCAGCAGUGGGGAAUAUUGCACAAUGGGCGCAAGCCUGAUGCAGCCAUGCCGCGUGUAUGAAGAAGGCCUUCGGGUUGUAAAGUACUUUCAGCGGGGAGGAAGGGAGUAAAGUUAAUACCUUGGCUCAUUGACGUUACCCGCAGAAGAAGCACCGGCUAACUCCGUG